RNAcentral lists this ribosomal RNA (427 nucleotides) under Priestia sp. Its description in RNAcentral is "bacterial SSU rRNA". It matches the Rfam family "Bacterial small subunit ribosomal RNA", at positions 55 to 469 of the family's 1533-position model. The record is from RNAcentral. Lineage: Bacteria; Bacillati; Bacillota; Bacilli; Caryophanales; Bacillaceae.
AUGCAAGUCGAGCGAACUGAUUAGAAGCUUGCUUCUAUGACGUUAGCGGCGGACGGGUGAGUAACACGUGGGCAACCUGCCUGUAAGACUGGGAUAACUUCGGGAAACCGAAGCUAAUACCGGAUAGGAUCUUCUCCUUCAUGGGAGAUGAUUGAAAGAUGGUUUCGGCUAUCACUUACAGAUGGGCCCGCGGUGCAUUAGCUAGUUGGUGAGGUAACGGCUCACCAAGGCAACGAUGCAUAGCCGACCUGAGAGGGUGAUCGGCCACACUGGGACUGAGACACGGCCCAGACUCCUACGGGAGGCAGCAGUAGGGAAUCUUCCGCAAUGGACGAAAGUCUGACGGAGCAACACCGCGUGAGUGAUGAAAGCUUUCGGGUCGUAAAACUCUGUUGUUAGGGAAGAACAUGCACAAGAGUAACUGGUU